UCAAUGCGCAUGUGCGGCCAUUCAGGGUCCGCAGCUCUUUCACUACGGGGCACUGGUGGGCUACUGCGCAGGAACAACCAAGCACGAAGAAUCGUUUAGAAAAAAAAAAAACACACCCUCCCCUGGAGUGCUCAGGCCCAGCUGCACGCGGGCUGACAAACAUCGAGUCUAGAACUCUCCCACCCGGCCCCGGGCCCAGUGCGCAUGCGCAGCCGCGCGCCUUCGGCCCACCGUACUACUUCUGCGCCUGCGCGACCGUGAUUCCCCGCUCGCGACUCCCCACCCCCCAGGGCUCCCUAAAGAGGGCCACGAGCUGCGAAAGGGCGGGAAAGGCAGUUGGAGAAGAGGUAAGCGGUUACUCACUCCAUGGCUGCAGCAAGGAGAGGCGGCGGCGGCCUCGGCUGAAGAAAGAAGAAACCCACCUUGUCCCAUCCACAUCAGGACAUCCCAGCUGGAGUUCAACCUUCAUCCCUUCUGUGGCAGUUAGGAGACUGAAUCAAGGUCCAGAGAAGGUGGAGGAAUCCUGAUACUGAGCGAAAUCUUCCCAAGGCUGCAGACACCG
This 562-nucleotide long non-coding RNA is filed under the name Homo sapiens (human). Its description in RNAcentral is "non-protein coding lnc-NUP62-1:14". The record is from RNAcentral. Lineage: Eukaryota; Metazoa; Chordata; Mammalia; Primates; Hominidae.